CUUUAUUUUUGUUCAAUUCUUUCUUUGAAUCACAUAUCCUGAGUGCAAGAUGGGUUGUUGUAGCAGCAAGGAGAAGCCUUCAAAAUCAGAGGCUAAUAAAGGGUACAGGUUAGGAGGCACUGGUAAUUUAAGGCAGAACCAACAACAACAAUCUUAUUAUCAACAACCAGAAUACCAGCAACAACAGGCCGUGCAGCACCCAAAAAUGACCGUCCCUCAAACUCAAACACAAACCCCGCAAACAAGGCCCCAACAACCUCAGGCAUCAACCCCCCCUCCUGUAAGAGCAGCACCUACGAACCUUACAGCAAGAUCAGUUCAAACGCCACAGACCAUUCUGGGCAAACCCUUGGAAGACAUUAAGC
Molecule: unclassified non-coding RNA, 365 nt
Filed under: Hevea brasiliensis (rubber tree)
Lineage: Eukaryota; Viridiplantae; Streptophyta; Magnoliopsida; Malpighiales; Euphorbiaceae
Source: RNAcentral